This 1329-nucleotide ribosomal RNA is filed under the name uncultured bacterium. RNAcentral's name for it is "16S ribosomal RNA". It matches the Rfam family "Bacterial small subunit ribosomal RNA", at positions 29 to 1404 of the family's 1533-position model. The record is from RNAcentral.
AUGAACGCUGGCGGCGUGCCUUAGGCAUGCAAGUCGAACGGUUGCCUUCGGGCAACAGUGGCAGACGGGUGAGUAACGGGUAGGAAUCUACCCCUUGGUAGGGAAUAACUCAUCGAAAGAUGGGCUAAUACCGUAUAAGUUCGUAAGAAGAAAGGGCGUAACUGCCCGCCGAGGGAUGUGCCUGCCUGCUAUCAGCUUGUUGGUGAGGUAAUGGCUCACCAAGGCUAUGACGGCUAGGGGGCGUGAGAGCGUGAUCCCCCACAAUGAAACUGCGACACGGUUCAUACAUCUACGGAUGGCAGCAACCAGGAAUAUUGCGCAAUGGACGAAAGUCUGACGCAGCGACGCCGCGUGCGGGAUUAAGGCCUUCGGGUCGUAAACCGCUGUGGAGAGGGAUGAAUUUUGACAGUACCUUUCUAGAAAGCACCUGCUAACUACGUGCCAGAAGCCUCGGUAAUACGUAGGGUGCUAGCGUUAUCCGGAAUCACUGGGCGUAAAGGGUUUUAUAGGCGGUAAGUUAAGUGGUGGGUUAAAGGCCAAGGCUCAACCUUGGAUAUGCCCAUCAAACUAACUAACUAGAGAUAAUUUGGGGAUGCUGGAAUUCUCGGUGUAGUAGUGAAAUGCGUUGAUAUCGAGAAGAACACCAAAGGCGAAGGCAGGCAUCUGGGAUUAUACUGACGCUGAUAAACGAAAGCUGGGGGAGCGAAAGGGAUUAGAGACCCCUGUAGUCCCAGCCGUAAACGAUGGACACUAGCUGUUUGCUCUUUAAGAGUGAGUGGCGCAAGCUAACGCGUUAAGUGUCCCGCCUGGGGAGUACGACCGCAAGGUUAAAACUCAAAGGAAUUGACGGGGAUGCGCACAACCAGCGUGCCAUGUGGUUUAAUUCGAUACAAAACGAUGAACCUUACCUAGACUUGACAUCCUGAUCAUAUCCCAUGGAAACAUAGGAGUCGGUUCGGCCGGAUCAGUGACAGCUGUUGCAUGGUUGUCGUCAGUUCGUGUCGUGAGGCGUCCUCUUAAGUGAGGUAACGAACGCAACCCCUGUUGCAUGUUAAAUAUCCAUGCAAGACUGCCCCUCUUAUUGGGGGGGAGGAAGGAGGGGACGACGUCAAAUCAGCAUGACGCUUACGUCUAGGGCUACACACAUGGUGUAAUGGGUGGUACAACGGGUCGCGACAGGGUAACCUUGAGCUAAUCCUUAUAAAACCACCCUCAGUUCGGAUUGGGGGCUGCAAUUCGCCCCCAUGAAGGGGAGUUGGUAGUAAUCGCAGGUCAGCUAUACUGCGGUGAAUACGUUCUCGCAUCUUGUACACACUGCCCGUCAAGUCA